CCUACGGGAGGCAGCAGUGAGGAAUAUUGGUCAAUGGACGAGAGUCUGAACCAGCCAAGUCGCGUGAAGGAUGACGGAUCUAUGGUUUGUAAACUUCUUUUAUAUGGGAAUAAAGUGAGGAACGUGUUCCUUUUUGUAUGUACCUUAUGAAUAAGCAUCGGCUAACUCCGUGCCAGCAGCCGCGGUAAUACGGAGGAUGCGAGCGUUAUCCGGAUUUAUUGGGUUUAAAGGGUGCGUAGAUGGUUUAUUAAGUCAGCGGUGAAAGUUUGUGGCUCAACCAUAAAAUUGCAGUUGAUACUGGUAGACUUGAGUACAUUUGAGGUAGGCGGAAUGCGUGGUGUAGCGGUGAAAUGCUUAGAUAUCACGAAGAACCCCGAUUGCGAAGGCAGCUUACUAAACUGUAACUGACACUGAUGCACGAAAGUGUGGGGAUCAAACAGGAUUAGAUACCCUGGUAGUC
This 460-nucleotide ribosomal RNA is filed under the name uncultured bacterium. Its description in RNAcentral is "partial 16S ribosomal RNA". It matches the Rfam family "Bacterial small subunit ribosomal RNA", at positions 338 to 795 of the family's 1533-position model. The record is from RNAcentral.